CAAGAGCGUAUAUUAAAGUUGUUGCAGUUAAAAGCUCGUAGUUGGAUUUCUGGUACAACGCGCCUGGCCCGCUUACGUGAGUGCCGGUGCGCGUUUGCCAUCCUUCUAGAAAACGUCUCUACUCGGGCAACUGAGCCGGAUUCGCGAUCUAGAUCUUUUACUUUGAAAAAUUAGAGUGUUUAAAGCAGGCUAUUGCCUUGAAUACAUUAGCAUGGAAUAAUAAUCUAGGACUUCGGUUCUUAUUUUGUUUGGUUUCUUAGUACUGAAGUAAUGAUUGAUAGGGAGUAGUUGGGGGUGGCUAGUAUUGACCGGCCAGAGGUGAAAUUCUUGGAUUUGUUAAAGACGGACUACUGCGAAAGCAUUUGUCCAAGGAUGUUUUCUAUUGAUCAAGAACGAAAGUUAGGGGAUCGAAGACGAUCAGAUACCAU
RNAcentral lists this ribosomal RNA (428 nucleotides) under uncultured eukaryote. RNAcentral describes it as "bacterial SSU rRNA". It matches the Rfam family "Eukaryotic small subunit ribosomal RNA", at positions 592 to 1018 of the family's 1831-position model. The record is from RNAcentral.